UUUUUUNNNNNNNNUCAGGAUGAACGCUGGCGGCGUGCCUAAUACAUGCAAGUCGAACGCUUUGUCUUUAAUUGAUCUGACGAGCUUGCUCUGAUGUGAUUUUAUCUGACAAAGAGUGGCGAACGGGUGAGUAACACGUGGGUAACCUACCUCUUAGCAGGGGAUAACAUUUGGAAACAAGUGCUAAUACCGUAUAAUACCAACAACCGCAUGGUUGUUGGUUGAAAGAUGGUUCUGCUAUCACUAAGAGAUGGACCCGCGGUGCAUUAGCUAGUUGGUAAGGUAAUGGCUUACCAAGGCAAUGAUGCAUAGCCGAGUUGAGAGACUGAUCGGCCACAAUGGGACUGAGACACGGCCCAUACUCCUACGGGAGGCAGCAGUAGGGAAUCUUCCACAAUGGGCGCAAGCCUGAUGGAGCAACGCCGCGUGUGUGAUGAAGGGUUUCGGCUCGUAAAACACUGUUAUAAGAGAAGAACGGCACUGAGAGUAACUGUUCAGUGUGUGACGGUAUCUUACCAGAAAGGAACGGCUAAAUACGUGCCAGCAGCCGCGGUAAUACGUAUGUUCCAAGCGUUAUCCGGAUUUAUUGGGCGUAAAGCGAGCGCAGACGGUUAUUUAAGUCUGAAGUGAAAGCCCUCAGCUCAACUGAGGAAUGGCUUUGGAAACUGGAUGACUUGAGUGCAGUAGAGGAAAGUGGAACUCCAUGUGUAGCGGUGAAAUGCGUAGAUAUAUGGAAGAACACCAGUGGCGAAGGCGGCUUUCUGGACUGUAACUGACGNNNG
RNAcentral lists this ribosomal RNA (782 nucleotides) under Weissella paramesenteroides. RNAcentral's name for it is "bacterial SSU rRNA". It matches the Rfam family "Bacterial small subunit ribosomal RNA", at positions 1 to 749 of the family's 1533-position model. The record is from RNAcentral. Lineage: Bacteria; Bacillati; Bacillota; Bacilli; Lactobacillales; Lactobacillaceae.